Molecule: long non-coding RNA, 367 nt
Filed under: Hordeum vulgare
Lineage: Eukaryota; Viridiplantae; Streptophyta; Magnoliopsida; Poales; Poaceae
Description: long non-coding RNA (HVUL_LNC014024)
Source: RNAcentral
ACUGCCUGACCCAACCAUAUACUACCAACCACUCACACGCGAACAAUUUAUUCCACUAAUAAAGAAAGAAAUAUCCAAACGCACGCACUGCAGGCCACCCAAAUCGCUCCAUAAUUUUUAUCUGUAGCUUCCUUCCGGCAGGCCGGCCGGCCGGCCGGCUUGCGCGUGCAUGGCGGUCCGCCGGCGCGCCUACUCGAUGCCGUACCUCUUCUUAAGCAGGCCGAUGAAGUCGUAGACCUUCUCGGGCGAGUAGAGGCUCUUGGCGACGCUCUCCCGCUCGCCGCACCGCUUGGCCCACGCCGCGAUCUUGGGCGCCACCUCCGCCAGGCUGAACUCGCCGUACCUCUCGUAGCUGUGGAACCAUGCG